AGGACGAACGCUGGCGGCGUGCUUAACACAUGCAAGUCGAGCGGUAAGGCCUUUCGGGGUACACGAGCGGCGAACGGGUGAGUAACACGUGGGUGAUCUGCCCUGCACUUCGGGAUAAGCCUGGGAAACUGGGUCUAAUACCGGAUAUGACCUCCUAUCGCAUGGUGGGUGGUGGAAAGAUUUAUCGGUGCAGGAUGGGCCCGCGGCCUAUCAGCUUGUUGGUGGGGUAAUGGCCUACCAAGGCGACGACGGGUAGCCGACCUGAGAGGGUGACCGGCCACGACGUGGGACUGAGACACGGCCCAGACUCCUACGGGAGGCAGCAGGUGGGAAUAUUGCACAAUGGGACGAAAGCCUGAUGCAGCGACGCCGCGUGAGGAUGACGGCCUUACGGGUUGUAAACCUCUUUCAGCAGGACGAAGCGCAGGUGACGGUACCUGCCAGAACGAAGCGACCGGCUAACACGUG
Molecule: ribosomal RNA, 468 nt
Filed under: uncultured soil bacterium
Lineage: Bacteria
Description: bacterial SSU rRNA
Rfam family: Bacterial small subunit ribosomal RNA
Source: RNAcentral